RNAcentral lists this transfer RNA (76 nucleotides) under Sphingomonas endophytica. RNAcentral describes it as "tRNA-Thr". It matches the Rfam family "tRNA". Rfam says of the family: Transfer RNA (tRNA) molecules are approximately 80 nucleotides in length. Their secondary structure includes four short double-helical elements and three loops (D, anti-codon, and T loops). Lineage: Bacteria; Pseudomonadati; Pseudomonadota; Alphaproteobacteria; Sphingomonadales; Sphingomonadaceae. RNAcentral also lists the same sequence under 4 other names. The record is from RNAcentral.
GCCGGUUUAGCUCAGCUGGUAGAGCAGCGGUUUUGUAAACCGAAGGUCGCGGGUUCGAUCCCUGCAACCGGCACCG